UACAGAGGUGGCAAGCGUUGUUCGGAAUUACUGGGCGUAAAGGGCGCGUAGGCGGCCUUCUAAGUCAGACGUGAAAUCCCCCGGCUUAACCUGGGAACUGCGUCUGAUACUGGAGGGCUUGAGUGCGGGAGAGGGAUGUGGAAUUCCAGGUGUAGCGGUGAAAUGCGUAGAUAUCAGGAGGAACACCGGUGGCGAAGGCGGAUCUCUGGGCCUUACCUGACGCUCAGGCGCGAAAGCUAGGGGAGCGAACAGG
RNAcentral lists this ribosomal RNA (253 nucleotides) under uncultured bacterium. Its description in RNAcentral is "partial 16S ribosomal RNA". It matches the Rfam family "Bacterial small subunit ribosomal RNA", at positions 524 to 776 of the family's 1533-position model. The record is from RNAcentral.